CCCAUGGCACAUGGACGUUCCCAGGUUGGGGGUCCAAUUGGAGCUUCCCUGCCGGCCUACACCACAGCUCACCCACUGAGCAAGGCCAGGGAUCGAACCCACAUCCUCAUGGACACCUGCUGAGCCACAGCAGGAACUCCAGUCCCUUUCCUUUUACAGCAGACAUGUGAUAAAACGUGACUGGAGAGAGAUGGCUCCACUGGGUCAGCAGCUUUAGCCGGUGCUGCGUAUGGAUGCUUCGUGCUCCUCUCUACAGAACGGACGGUCUUGGGGCUCUUUGUUUUGUUGUUUUUGCUUUAUAAAAAGUGUACUGAAAGAAGACAGUUAGCAGGUUUACUGGCAAGACACAUUAGUUGGCAUUAAAAUGUGUCUUUAGGCUCCACUUCUGCAAGUUUUCCCAAUCCAUGACCCACAGAGCCUGCAGACUGUUACAAACCUAUUCAAAUAAAUACUAUUUUAAAAUACAUAAAAACAUUAUGAAGCAGCCCACCAAGUAAAAUGUAAUUGGCUGCAUCCUCUUACAAGAGCCUCAAAAAGCAGUUUAGUCCUUGAUGCUAAGAGCAGUCCUACAAAAUGCCAACAAGGUGGAGCAUCGUGUCUCAAAGAGUCUUCCGUAAUGCGUUGCUCUAAACAGACUUGACUGCCGGGUGCUGCAGCAAAACACAGAGACCCUGUGCAUCCUAGUCUUUUGAUUCCACCGUUCAGAGUGGAAUUUCUUUCCUUUAAUGUAACUCUUUCCCUUCGGUGUAAGGCGGGUGCAUUGAUACGAACACACCUUUACCAGAAAGGGUUGUAGAAAGCAGAACUUUCGGCAUCUAACUCAAGUUACAAGCGAUCAGCCAUCCGUUAAACGUACACUGAGUCAAGUGCAGUUUUUUAAGGUACUUGAGUGCAGUUAAGAUUCCAUUUCACAGUGUUACUGAGAAUUCUGCACCUAUGUUAAAUCCGAGGUGUUCAGCUUCAGCCAGGAUGGACUAUUAGCGGCUGAAUAAAAACUGCACAAAAUACUGGUUUCCAUCUAAAAUUCCGGACAAAUCCUUCAUGGACACAGUAAUAAGAGAAGCCGUUCUGAAACAAUUAUUCUCUCGAGUAAUGUCUUCUUUCAACUGUAUAUGGAACCCUUCAAAUCCAUACGUAAUUUUGGACAAUUCAAAAUAAACAAACAGGGAGUUCCUGUCAUGGCGCAGUGGUUAACGAAUCCGACUAGGAACCAUGAGGUUGCGGGUUCGGUCCCUGGCCUCGCUCCGUGGGUUAAGGAUCCGUGUUCCUAAUUUCAAGACAUAAAAGUAAGGGAAAAAUCAUUAUUUUGUUCAUUUUUGUCCCUGAGUCGCAUAACCGAGACUAUAAACAUGACGUUGGCCGACCACCUCUGGAGUGAUUUCAUGACAAGUAACGGGUGGAGAGAGAACACACAUAGGCACAGAAUCCUAUCCUGUUGAUUCAAAAAGCAAACACACAUUGCAACGAAUCCCUUGGAACCUGACAUAGUAGACAUACACCAGUUUUCAAGUCUUCUACUGCACCUCGAAGUAAGGUAUUAAUCCUUCGAACACUCCAAGUAGAUCUAUUCAAUUGACAGAGCACAAAAAGUCUUCUUGGGGAGAAAAAGCAAAGAGCCGAGAAUUAGAACCAUUUCUUUAGUUUUUCUCCCAGAUGACAUAAAGUAUGUUUAAUCACAAGAUGAAAGAAAAGCCCUUCAAAAUUCCUUUUAUACCCGCCCCGCAAAUAAAGCGAAUAAACAAAAACCAAACCUAGACAAUCCCUGGGGGGAGUGGAAAUCAGCCAAACUGUAUUGAUAAUGUUUUCUCUUCAAGUAAUUGGAAAAUUCCUCAAUUGUCCUGCUUUCUAGAUGACAGGGCUCCACUUACAGUCAUUGAGCCAAAAAUAGCUAACGGUGAUAUUAGGCUUAUAGGCUGAGACAUGAAAUCGAGUCAGGUAAUGGAAAUGAAUCAUGAUUAUUUGUUAAUAGCUAGAUAGGCUGAACAACAAAAAAAAAAGGUAUUUCGUCUUCUUGUUUUCACUUCUGACAUGCCUAGACGUGUCUUUUAGGCUCUAAGCUUACUCCCUUUUGCUUAAGAGUCAUGAGGUCCCCUGCAGCACUAAUGAAACUGAGGGGACCCUGGGGGGCGGGGUAGGUACCUUCUGGGAUUACUCUUUUCUAACCUCCCGCAUUCUGCAGGUAGCUUCACUUCAAUGCCUGGGAAAAUAGAAAAAAAAUUUAUGUGGCAAUCCAGCCUUUCCCCGGAGGUAAGAGGGCGUGGCUAACAUGCUCAGGUAGAAAAGAUGUACUUUUAGAAAAAUAAACACGUUUCAUAUAAACAAAGACUAGGCUACUUCUAAAGUUCUAGGGAGAUACCCCGAUACUUUUGCUGGUUAGACCUCAGAAGUGCCAAGUAUAUCUGCUUUUCCUUUCGUCUUUACACACUACAUAGCUGAAGUCAGAGAACUGUUCCGUCUUUAACUUCAUUUGCAAAUUUAUUAAUGACAGGGAAAAAAAGAGAGACUCCCCACAGACAGACAAUUUGCAUUUCAUUAAAAAAUUUAAGGCAAAAAGAAAACAAAUUCCACAAAAGGAUGGGUCACAGGAAAGUGCAGUCGGAAGCCCUGCCCAUCCUUCUCCCCGAGGGCCCGUGAUUCAUCACCCACGGCCUCAGUCUGAUGCCACGCUGGCAUCGCCUGCCUCCCACUCUUCUGCUUUCAGCUACUUAAGCUUCACAAGACUGUGGGAUCAAAGAAGACACCUAGCAAUUCUAGGUGAAAUUUAUCAUGGCCAGGAUGACCCAUAAGAGCAAAGCGCAUUUUUCUUCUUAAAGAAUCUGAAACUCAGGAACAAGAGUUAAUGGCAAAGUUUUGAUGUGAUAUGUUAAGAGAUUGGAAACUAGAUUAUUCUCUGAAUUAAACUGUCAAAGAUUUAAAAAGUGAUUAGCUGGAGAGGAACCUUAAUGAGCUCUCUUUCAAAACCUUCGUGUAAUCUCCCAUUUAAUUUUCAUAAUACUUUUAUAAUUCCAUAUAAUUUACGCUUGAUAAAUUUCUUUGAAAAGUCCAACAUAUUAAAAAGUCAUUCAACAUGUAUGUCUUACAGAAUCACAAAGAACUCCAAUAAAUAGGGGUGAAAAGCCCUUCUGCUGGACACCUGUCACCUGCACGGCACACCUGUGUGUACCUGUCACAGCCGCCACCGGCUCGAACUCUGGUCCACGCUGGGCUUUCUU
Molecule: long non-coding RNA, 3212 nt
Filed under: Sus scrofa (pig)
Lineage: Eukaryota; Metazoa; Chordata; Mammalia; Artiodactyla; Suidae
Description: lncRNA (ENSSSCG00050016793.1)
Source: RNAcentral